Salvia miltiorrhiza (redroot sage) is the source of this 460-nucleotide long non-coding RNA. RefSeq lists it as uncharacterized. The record is from RefSeq and is a predicted model, not a curated record. The transcript is spliced from 4 exons. NCBI's taxonomy places the organism in Eukaryota, Viridiplantae, Streptophyta, Magnoliopsida, Lamiales, Lamiaceae.
CACUUGAAGGAGAGCGUUGGUGGUUAAAAGCAGAAGAUCCUUUUCAAUGUUUGGCAGCAUGCAUUACCCUUGCUGAGGCCCUUAGAAGUCCAUCUCCCGAGACAAUAAUAUCUCAUAUUCCAGUCCACCAAGAUGGUUCUUGCAAUGGUUUACAGCAUUAUGCUGCCCUUGGUAGGGAUAAGCCAGGGGCAGCUGCUGUUAACUUGGUUGCUGGAGAAAAGCCCGCAGAUGUUUAUUCAGGAAUUGCUACGAGGGAUGUUACUUUCAAAAAGGGAGGAAGAUCAAGAUGGAGAUGAGCGCGAAUGAAGCCUUUGAGAGGUCGAUGAGGACUUUGUCGGAGUGGAUAAGCCAGGAAGUGAAUCGAAAUAUGUAAUGAUCUUAGAUACUUGAUACUUGGUUCAUUCGGAUGAUAAUGUACGAAUAUUUUGGAUAAUAUAUAAUAUUGUUAUUGUUGAUUUUA